This 595-nucleotide ribosomal RNA is filed under the name Flavihumibacter sp. Se1Pw_3220. RNAcentral describes it as "bacterial SSU rRNA". It matches the Rfam family "Bacterial small subunit ribosomal RNA", at positions 395 to 990 of the family's 1533-position model. The record is from RNAcentral. Lineage: Bacteria; Pseudomonadati; Bacteroidota; Chitinophagia; Chitinophagales; Chitinophagaceae.
UGCCGCGUGGAGGAUGAAGGUCCUCUGGAUUGUAAACUUCUUUUAUCUGGGACAAAAAAGGGCCUUUCUAGGUCAACUGACGGUACCGGAUGAAUAAACACCGGCUAACUCCGUGCCAUCACCCGCGGUAAUACGGAGGGUGCGAGCGUUAUCCGGAUUCACUGGGUUUAAAGGGUGCGUAGGCCGGCAUGUAAUUCCGUGGUGAAAUCUCCUAGCUUAACUCGGAAACUGCCCUGGAUACGAUGUGUCUUGAAUGUUGUGGAGGUGAGCGGAAUAUGUCUUGUAGCGGUGAAAUGCUUAGAUAUGACAUACAAAACCACUUGCAAAGGCAACUCACUACACAGAUAUUGACCCUAAGGCACGAAAGCAUGGGGAUCAAACAGGAUUAGAUACCCUGGUAGUCCACGCCCUAAACGAUGAUAACUCGACAUACUUGAUACACGAUGUGUGUCUGAGCGAAAGCAUUAAGUAAUCCACCUGGGAAGUACGACCGCAAGGUUGAAACUCAAAGGAAUUGACAGGGGUCCGCACAACCCGUGGAGCAUGUGGUUUAAUUCUAUGAUACACGAGGAACCUUACCUGGGCUAUAAUGCUG